RNAcentral lists this ribosomal RNA (699 nucleotides) under uncultured Cortinarius. RNAcentral's name for it is "eukaryotic LSU rRNA". The stretch from base 300 to 453 matches the Rfam family "5.8S ribosomal RNA". The record is from RNAcentral. Lineage: Eukaryota; Fungi; Basidiomycota; Agaricomycetes; Agaricales; Cortinariaceae.
GAGGAAGUAAAAGUCGUAACAAGGUUUCCGUAGGUGAACCUGCGGAAGGAUCAUUAUUGAAAUAAACCUGAUAAGUUGUUGCUGGCUCUCUAGGGAGCAAUGUGCACGCUUGUCAUCUUUAUAUUUUCACCUGUGCACCUUUUGUAGACUUGAUUAUCUCUCCGAAUGCUUUUAUAGCAUUUGGGAUUGAGAAUUGACUUAAUUGUCUCUUUUUAUAUUUUCAGGUCUAUGUUUUUUCAUAUACCCUAUGUAUGUUUAUAGAAUGUAAUUAAUGGGCCUUUUGUGCCUAUAAACUUUACAACUUUCAGCAACGGAUCUCUUGGCUCUCGCAUCGAUGAAGAACGCAGCGAAAUGCGAUAAGUAAUGUGAAUUGCAGAAUUCAGUGAAUCAUCGAAUCUUUGAACGCACCUUGCACCCUUUGGCAUUCCGAAGGGUAUGCUCGUUUGAGUGUCAUUGUACUCUCACUCUCCCGAUACUUUUGGAUCGGGAGUGGUGGACUUGGGUGCUGCUGCUUAACUGUGGCUCGCCUUAAAUGAAGUAGUGCAACUCUCGGUUGGACAUAGUACGGCGUGAUAAGUGUCUUCGCCGGCGCCUCAUUCGAGGGUGGCCGAUCGGGAGCUCUGUGCUUCAAACUGUCUUCGGACAACAUCUGACAACUUGACCUCAAAUCGAGUAGGACUACCCGCUGAACUUAAGCAU